This 463-nucleotide ribosomal RNA is filed under the name uncultured bacterium. RNAcentral's name for it is "bacterial SSU rRNA". It matches the Rfam family "Bacterial small subunit ribosomal RNA", at positions 29 to 507 of the family's 1533-position model. The record is from RNAcentral.
AAUGAACGUUGGCGGUGCGCCUUAUGCAUGCAAGUCGAACGGGGUUAUAUUCUUCGGAUUGUAACCUAGUGGCGAACGGCUGAGUAACACGUAAGUAACCUGCCUUGGAGUGGGAAAUAACCUGCCGAAAGGCGAGCUAAUGUCCCAUGUGAUAGCGAAGUUGAUGCUUUGUUAUUAAAGCCUUAGGGUGCUCCAAGAGGGGCUUGCGUCUGAUUAGCUAGUUGGUAGGGUAAUGGCCUACCAAGGCUGUGAUCGGUAGCUGGUCUGAGAGGAUGGUCAGCCAGAUGGGGACUGGGAUACGGCCCCAACUCCUACGGGAGGCAGCAGCAAGGAAUCUUGGGCAAUGAGCGAAAGCUUGACCCAGCGACACCGCGUGAGGGAUGAAGGCCUUCGGGUUGUAAACCUCUUUUCUUGGGGAAGAAUUCUGACGGUACCCAAGGAAUAAGCCUCGGCCAACUACGUG